GACGAACGCUGGCGGCGUGCUUAACACAUGCAAGUCGAACGCUGAAGCUCAGCUUGCUGGGUGGAUGAGUGGCGAACGGGUGAGUAACACGUGAGUAACCUGCCCUCUUCUUUGGGAUAACGCCCGGAAACGGGUGCUAAUACUGGAUAUUCACUGAUUCUCGCAUGGGGGUUGGUGGAAAGGUUUUUUCUGGUGGGGGAUGGGCUCGCGGCCUAUCAGCUUGUUGGUGGGGUGAUGGCCUACCAAGGCUUUGACGGGUAGCCGGCCUGAGAGGGUGACCGGUCACAUUGGGACUGAGAUACGGCCCAGACUCGUACGGGAGGCAGCAGUGGGGAAUAGUGCACAAUGGGCGAAAGCCUGAUGCAGCGACGCCGCGUGAGGGAUGGAGGCCUUCGGGGUGUAAACCUCUUUCGCUCAUGGUCAAGCCGCAGCUUGGGGUUGUGGUGAGGGUAGUGGGUAAAGAAGCGCCGGCUAACUACGUG
Molecule: ribosomal RNA, 482 nt
Filed under: uncultured bacterium
Lineage: Bacteria
Description: partial 16S ribosomal RNA
Rfam family: Bacterial small subunit ribosomal RNA
Source: RNAcentral